Molecule: ribosomal RNA, 253 nt
Filed under: uncultured bacterium
Lineage: Bacteria
Description: partial 16S ribosomal RNA
Rfam family: Bacterial small subunit ribosomal RNA
Source: RNAcentral
GACGAACCGUGCGAACGUUGUUCGGAAUCACUGGGCUUAAAGGGCGCGUAGGCGGGUCUUCAAGUUUGGGGUGAAAUCCUCCGGCUCAACCGGAGAACUGCCUCGAAUACUGAAGGUCUCGAGGGGGAUAGGGGCAUGCGGAACUACGGGUGGAGCGGUGAAAUGCGUUGAUAUCCGUAGGAACUCCGGUGGCGAAGGCGGCGUGCUGGAUCCCUUCUGAUGCUGAGGCGCGAAAGCCAGGGGAGCAAACGGG